This is a long non-coding RNA of Erinaceus europaeus (western European hedgehog), 252 nucleotides long. RefSeq lists it as uncharacterized. The transcript has 2 exons. The record is from RefSeq and is a predicted model, not a curated record. NCBI's taxonomy places the organism in Eukaryota, Metazoa, Chordata, Mammalia, Eulipotyphla, Erinaceidae.
CAGGUACCAACUGCAGAGUUGCACCUGGAUUCCUGUGCACGGCAAUGUUUGUGUUCAAAGACACCCCCAGAUCUGCGCUGAGGGGAAGAUGCUUUCUUGAGAUAGGACCCUGCCAUCUUUUUAGGCUGCUGGUGCCUGGAAUCAGCUCAUUGUCCUGGCAACAGACUCUGCCUCUUCUGACUCCCUUCCCGACACCCCCUCCCCCUGCCCGCCAGCCCUCAGUGAUGAACAUUAAACUUUGAUCCUGGGUAA